This 576-nucleotide ribosomal RNA is filed under the name uncultured eukaryote. RNAcentral describes it as "bacterial SSU rRNA". It matches the Rfam family "Eukaryotic small subunit ribosomal RNA", at positions 203 to 784 of the family's 1831-position model. The record is from RNAcentral.
UUUGUUACUUCAAACCAAUCGGACUUCGGUCUGACAUCAAGUGAUAUUGAACAAUUUAGCUGAUCGCACGGUCUAAGAACCGGCGACAUAUCCUUCAAAUGUCUGCCUUAUCAACUUUCGAUGGUAGAUUAUGCGCCUACCAUGGUUGUAACGGGUAACGGAGAAUCAGGGUUUGAUUCCGGAGAGGGAGCCUGAGAAACGGCUACCACAUCCAAGGAAGGCAGCAGGCACGCAAAUUACCCACUCCCGGCACGGGGAGGUAGUGACGAAAAAUAACAAGCUGGUCUCAAUGAGUUCCAGCAUUGUAAUGGGAACAAUUUAAAUCUUUUAUCGAGGAUCUAUUGGAGGGCAAGUCUGGUGCCAGCAGCCGCGGUAAUUCCAGCUCCAAUAGCAUAUGUUAAUGUUGUUGCGGUUAAAAAGCUCGUAGUUGGAUCUCGGCGGGCCGGGGGCGGUUCGCUCUCUGGCGUGACUGCCCCACAGGCCCGUGUUUUUGGCGGAGGUCGUCGGGUGCUCUUAACCGAGUGUCCUGCGGCGCCGUCAGGUUUACUUUGAAAAAAUUAGAGUGCUCCAGGCAGG